GGUAGCUAAAUGCGGAAGAGAUAAGUGCUGAAAGCAUCUAAGCACGAAACUUGCCCCGAGAUGAGUUCUCCCUGAGACUUUAAGUCUCCUGAAGGAACGUUGAAGACGACGACGUUGAUAGGCCGGGUGUGUAAGCGCAGCGAUGCGUUGAGCUAACCGGUACUAAUGAACCGUGAGGCUUAACCUUACAACGCCGAAG
Molecule: ribosomal RNA, 199 nt
Filed under: Klebsiella pneumoniae
Lineage: Bacteria; Pseudomonadati; Pseudomonadota; Gammaproteobacteria; Enterobacterales; Enterobacteriaceae
Description: partial 23S ribosomal RNA
Rfam family: Bacterial large subunit ribosomal RNA
Source: RNAcentral